AUUCAGUUGACGUGUCCCAAACAGGGAGAAACGCGCGUCUUGCAU
Molecule: non-coding RNA, 45 nt
Filed under: Schistosoma margrebowiei
Lineage: Eukaryota; Metazoa; Platyhelminthes; Trematoda; Strigeidida; Schistosomatidae
Source: RNAcentral